Molecule: long non-coding RNA, 400 nt
Filed under: Homo sapiens (human)
Lineage: Eukaryota; Metazoa; Chordata; Mammalia; Primates; Hominidae
Description: HSALNT0354220
Source: RNAcentral
GCAGGUGCCCAGAAUGCUGGAGGAUGCCCGAAAUUUCCUAUGCACAUACAAGCUUACUGUUGAAGUCCUCUCAUCCAAUGCACUCAGAACGGGACUGUAAGUCCAGCUGCUGUGUAUCAUCACCUCAGCCCGAUUGGUCCUCGGCCACACUUCACUUCAGCUUCUGAUAGGUCCUGGGCCAAGCUAAGCAGCAUCUAUGAAUCAUUUCACCUCCUGACUGGUCCCGGGCCAAGCCGAGUCACGCAUUCGCCAAGACAGCCCCCAGACUAAGCACAUUCCUUCCCCUUCCGUCCAUAAAAACCUGGACCCCAGCCUCAUGAUGGGCACUCCCGUUCGGGACCCCCUCUCUGCUGGCAGAGAGCUUUCUUCUUUCACCUUAUUAAACUUUCACUCUAACCUC